RNAcentral lists this ribosomal RNA (846 nucleotides) under Triticum aestivum (bread wheat). RNAcentral's name for it is "partial small subunit ribosomal RNA". The record is from RNAcentral. Lineage: Eukaryota; Viridiplantae; Streptophyta; Magnoliopsida; Poales; Poaceae.
AUGCAACCAGAAGAGAUGGGGAAUGAGAUGGCGCCUGAUAUCGCAGAGGGUGCGGCGAGGCGCGUCGGCUGGCGCGGCUACUGCUUCCCUCCUCCUGCCGAGUCCGGAUCGAGGUCGCGCUCCUCGGCUCGAGCUCCUCCUGCCGAGGACGGAUCGAGGGCGAAGGGCACCGGUGGAGCACGGGGCGCGGCUGCUGCUCCCCUCCUUAUAUUGAGUCCUACUCAAGGGCGAGCUCCUCCUGCCGAGGCCGGAUCAAGGCCGACGGGCGCCGGCAGAGCAGGGCCGGCCGAGGCCGAGGCGGCGGCGGCAGGAGAAGAGGCGGACGAGGCCGAGGCGGCGACGGCGGCAGAAGAGGAGGCGGCUGCGGGGGCGCGGGCUAGGUCUGACUGCUUUUCCUCUUUUCUCUCGCUGCCGCUUCCCCUUUUAUUUUCUGUCGUGCCUGCUAGCCCAGGUCGCCCGCUCGGUCGCUGCUCUCUCCGAGGCGCGCACCUGCGAGACCGACAGAUGGGCCCGUCGCGGCUGAAGCGGAGGCGCGACCGCUGGGUGCAAACGAGGACGGUAAAAAAACGCCCUGCCAACCCACGAACGCCCCUGGCAACCCACCAUCAAUCGCUCCUGUUUUCACCCGGACACAGAGACGCACACACCGUAUCGCUGCUAGGCUGGCCCCCGCGCAGGCCUGGCCCACUCGUCAACUGCUCCUGGGCCGAUCGCGGGGCGUACAGAAAAACGAGCGGUGGGAUUUUCACCAGGCGACGGAAAUUACUGUUAUGCCGCCAGCGAGGUGAAACGUGCGCGCAGGAUGAAUCUGAAUCCGCGAUGGCGCUGGAUGGGCGGGUACUCUAG